This 408-nucleotide ribosomal RNA is filed under the name uncultured bacterium. RNAcentral's name for it is "partial 16S ribosomal RNA". It matches the Rfam family "Bacterial small subunit ribosomal RNA", at positions 28 to 526 of the family's 1533-position model. The record is from RNAcentral.
GACGAACGCUGGCGGCGUGCUUAACACAUGCAAGUCGAACGAAGUGGCGAACGGGUGAGUAACGCGUAAUCAACAUGCCCUUCAGAGGGGGACAACAGUUGGACACGACUGCUAAUACCCCAUACUGAUGGAGGGGAUUGCGUGUGAUUGGCGAGUUGGAGGGGUAACGGCCAACCAAGGCGAGGAUCAGUAGACGGUCGGAGAGGGUGAACCGUCAAAUUGGGACUGGGACACGGGCCAGAAUCCUACGGGGGGCAUCAGUGGGGAAUCUUCCGCAAUGGACGAAAGUCUGACGGAGCAACGCCGCGUGAGUGAUGACGGCCUUCGGGUUGUAAAGCGCUGUUAAUCGGGACGCGGUACCGGAAUAGAAAGCCACGGCUAACUACGUGCCAGCAGCCGCGGUAAUUC